UUGCGCUUUUAGAAAAUUACAUGCCGGAUUAGCUAGUUGGUAGAGUAAAAGCCUACCAAGGUAACGAUCCGUAGCUGGUCUGAGAGGAUGAUCAGCCACACUGGGACUGAGAAAAGGCCCAGACUCCUACGGGAGGCAGCAGUGGGGAAUAUUGGACAAUGGGGGGAACCCUGAUCCAGUCAUGCCGCGUGUGUGAAGAAGGCCUUUGGGUUGUAAAGCACUUUCAGCGAAGAAGAAAAGUUAGAAAAUAAAAAGUUAUAACUAUGACGGUACUCGCAGAAGAAGCACCGGCUAACUCCGUGCCAGCAGCCGCGGUAAGACGGAGGGUGCAAGCGUUAAUCAGAAUUACUGGGCGUAAAGGGCAUGUAGG
RNAcentral lists this ribosomal RNA (370 nucleotides) under Candidatus Portiera aleyrodidarum (primary endosymbiont of Bemisia tabaci). RNAcentral's name for it is "bacterial SSU rRNA". It matches the Rfam family "Bacterial small subunit ribosomal RNA", at positions 213 to 575 of the family's 1533-position model. The record is from RNAcentral. Lineage: Bacteria; Pseudomonadati; Pseudomonadota; Gammaproteobacteria; Johnevansiales (SeqCode); Johnevansiaceae (SeqCode).